AUGGACCACGCGUCCACUGCGGUUCUGAGCGCGCCGCCCACACCCAACUGACGACUGCUCGCUACGUCCUGCCAGCC
Molecule: small RNA, 77 nt
Filed under: Xanthomonas oryzae
Lineage: Bacteria; Pseudomonadati; Pseudomonadota; Gammaproteobacteria; Lysobacterales; Lysobacteraceae
Also listed under: 3 other names
Description: sX9 sRNA
Rfam family: Xanthomonas sRNA sX9
Source: RNAcentral